GCGCCCGUAGCUCAGUUGGAUAGAGUGUUGGUUUCCGAAGCCAAAGGUCACAGGUUCGACUCCUGUCGGGCGCACCA
RNAcentral lists this transfer RNA (77 nucleotides) under Methylobacillus flagellatus. RNAcentral describes it as "tRNA-Arg". It matches the Rfam family "tRNA". Rfam says of the family: Transfer RNA (tRNA) molecules are approximately 80 nucleotides in length. Their secondary structure includes four short double-helical elements and three loops (D, anti-codon, and T loops). Further hydrogen bonds mediate the characteristic L-shaped molecular structure. tRNAs have two regions of fundamental functional importance: the anti-codon, which is responsible for specific mRNA codon recognition, and the 3' end, to which the tRNAs corresponding amino acid is attached (by aminoacyl-tRNA synthetases). tRNAs cope with the degeneracy of the genetic code in two manners: having more than one tRNA (with a specific anti-codon) for a particular amino acid; and 'wobble' base-pairing, i.e. permitting non-standard base-pairing at the 3rd anti-codon position. RNAcentral also lists the same sequence under 10 other names. Lineage: Bacteria; Pseudomonadati; Pseudomonadota; Betaproteobacteria; Nitrosomonadales; Methylophilaceae. The record is from RNAcentral.